Molecule: long non-coding RNA, 909 nt
Organism: Drosophila pseudoobscura
Lineage: Eukaryota; Metazoa; Arthropoda; Insecta; Diptera; Drosophilidae
Exons: 2
Source: RefSeq, a predicted model, not a curated record
GUCCGUCGUGUUCAAUACCUACCCUGUAGAACCAAAGGGGUCAAUUGACCCCUCCGAACUAGUUCUGCGCUGUUUACCGCGCAACUAGCUACGCAACUAGUUACGCGGGAAGCGAACGCAGACCAGGUCUUCGUCGACUACAAUGUACUAGUUCUGCAACUAGUUACGCGGGAAGCGAACGCGGACCAGUCGAAAAAGAACCGAAAAACGAAGCCGCCUUCGGUUUGUUUUUGAAGGCGGCAAAUAACCGCAAUUCCGUGAAGUUACAGUGCCCACUCAGCUAGUUUUUACCGAGCCACGACAUGCAAUGAGCACCGAAAUGGUAAGUUAAUCGUGAUAUUUUACUGUAGUUGCGAUCGUGGAAUGAAAGAGACAAGAAUUUACACAAACAAAAUGCAUUUGUUUUCCUCGUUUGCUUUAUGCGUUGAUUUUGUUCACAUCUGUACAAGAUCUAAUCGCUGGAAGAGUCUUUUGUGUGAACAUUUAUUAAAAAAGUGGAAAAGAUUUAAUAAAUAAAUCAAAUUAAUAUAAACAGGUACGUGCAAAUACUUUUAGAAACUCUAAAACAGGAGAAUGCAGUUAUUCGUGGUAAGACUAAUAAAGAUUAACAGAAAAAUAUUUGUAUAAUCAAAUUAAUUAACAACAUUGUUUUUAGAUCAAUUGAAUGCAGUGGUCCAAAUUUUAGCGGAUCAAACUGUUUUAAUAAAGCAGCUGGUAAAGGAGAAGGGGGAAUUGAAUCCCAUUCGGGGACAGUUCCCUAUAAAACGUGAGGAAGAACUUAUAGAACUGGAAGAAAAAAUAAAAUUAAAUAGGGACAUUUAUAUAACAGCAAUGAAAUCAAUUCUCCAGUGCCAAAAACCAGGAGUAGGCUAAGCAUCAUAUAAUUAAAAAUUAUUCGUUAUAAUGAAA